Molecule: long non-coding RNA, 1457 nt
Organism: Fukomys damarensis (Damara mole-rat)
Lineage: Eukaryota; Metazoa; Chordata; Mammalia; Rodentia; Bathyergidae
Exons: 3
Source: RefSeq, a predicted model, not a curated record
GAGAGCUCCUGCAUGGUCCCUGACUUCCUGACAUCCCCGUGGAUACCAAGAGCAGCCAGGGACAGGAGACCACUGGGGAGCAGGGGCAGAUGUGGCUGUGGUGAGGCCGAACACCAUGCGGUAGCGUUCGCUCUUGAGAAGAAUGUGUUUCAGCCAAGUUGGCUGGCCUCUGAGUCUUGCAGCUGUGGUCCCAGAUACUCAGGGCAGACACAAGCCUCCUUCCUACACGGCGAUCCAUCGGAUUCAUGGCCUAUGGAGAUACACAACAAAAAAGCUGUUUUGUACUCCUCGGUUUGGGCUGCUUUGGUAUAUCGCAAGGCAUGGGAUCAGAACAGUCCCCGCAUCUGUGUCUCAGAAGGAGCUCCCCUUUCUGAACUCCUGCCGCAUAUACUUUAGUGCCUGCCUUUUCUCAAGUUCGGAAGUACAUGGAACCAUCCACAGGUGCAUUAGACCAACAUGUUCCAAGCCAAAGUCAUCAUUGUCCUACCCACAUUUAAAACCCUGUUGAUAACCUUGAUAAAAUUCAACCAAGGAAGGCCAGUGACUUCCUGAGAGGACGGCUUCUGCUCCCAGAGAGCAGGGGUAGAGUAGAGGGAUAUCUGCUGGGGACUGGGUGACAAAGUGUUUGGCUGUGAACAAAAAGCAAAGACCUGGUCCAUAGGUGGAUGAAGUCAAGACCUUGGUUUUGGGGUGCUGCCCUUCACCAGUGGAUUCACUACCUGCUGGUCACUGGUCCUGAGCAUCUUCUUCCUCCCUGCAAGGCAGCGGGCCCUGUGAUGUGCUUUCUAGUGAGACUCGAAAGGCAUGGUGUUUGCCCCUUCCCGAGCUGCCCGCACCAGAUAUCACCAACACUGGAGGAGCAAGGCUGAGUCGUGCUCUAGAUGUCACCGAUCUGCCUGGCGCUCCUUUCACGAAUGGGAACAAACCUGUGCUGUCUCCCUUCCAUUGUUUAUUUUCUGCUCUUCUGUGAUGUUAUGAGAAGCAUAUUUUGAUUAAAAAAAAAUCAAGCCUGACGAUCAUUUGCAUAAAAGUAGCCCGCUAUGCGUCUCAGUAGCUGUGCCUAGGCAGAACAGUAGAUGAAGGGCAAGAUGUGUGCAUGCGUGCAAAAGUGUCAGACUGGGAUUUUUGCCCAUAUAAUGAACUGUCUAACAAGAUUUUUGUAUUUUCAACCUGAGCAUCACAGGGGGUGAAAUACACCCACACCACUCUUCUGUUAUGAAAACAUGUAUUUUAUCAUAAUGGAAUGUGGGUGUGCCUCACAGUAGCUGCACCUGGGGAAAGCAAAAACCCAUCUGUGCAUUCACCCACUUGGCAGAUGGCAAGGUGUGUACAGGAGCUCCAAAGCAGCAACAGGUGAGUUUUACCCAUGAAACGCUCUUUGCUACAUUUCUCCUGCAUUUAAGAUUUGUUUAAAAAAAAAGUUUUCUUUUGUUUCUUCUGGUAGAAGUAGCCCAGCU